This 850-nucleotide long non-coding RNA is filed under the name Homo sapiens (human). Its description in RNAcentral is "HSALNT0029845". The record is from RNAcentral. Lineage: Eukaryota; Metazoa; Chordata; Mammalia; Primates; Hominidae.
UAUGUUACUGAUUAUCGUAAAAUUGACUCUGCUAGAGACUCUGUUAAUCAUUUUUUAUCUUAAUGGCAAGGCUUUGUUGCUGCCCAGUCUUUUGAAAGAUAUUUGAAAAUUCAGGAUACAUGUUUACAGAAGAGACAAACUUGACUUCAUUAUCUAGAGCCAGAACACAUAGUAUCUGUAUAUCCACGGUGAUUGGGACUAAUGCCAAGAUUUGAAAUAAUACCUCAGACAGUUCAGCUUCAGAGAGAGAAUAGCUUUUGAAAAAUCUAAAAUCUACCUUAGGAACGUACAUUUCUCUAAGCAAAGUGAGUAUGUAAACAAAAUGUUUUAUUAUCAGGGAUUUCUCCCUUUCCCCUUCAAUGUUCCCUUUCUCUUUCACCAGGCUCCCAGGCUCUUGACACUCCUGGUUCCUCCCAGUCCCCUUGUGAUUCCUUUAAUAUCUAUGCCUAUUUCUGAGAUAUCCCUUCCUCACUCUGCCCCCUGCAUACCCGUCAGUUGCCUUGUAAUGUCCCUUUCCCUGAAAGCCUCGUUAUUUACCUACAUUUAAAAUAUAGAUUAUAUUAGGCUUAUACCCUAACCAUUCCACAUGAGAUCUACACUGUAAUUGAGGCUUCUAAAAAGUGAUGUGGUAUGGAGGACCAUGAUCAGAUCAGUGGAGGCCUUUGGGAGACGGGGGAGCUUUGGAAAUCACAUCAGUGAAAGGUGUGGACAAAAACGGCCUUUUGUUGUUCCACAUCAUUUUUUAAUCGUAUUUUUUAAAGAAAAAAAUGAAAAGAUUCCCUCAAGUAAGUAUAUUAUUCUGGUUUCCUCAGACCAUCUCACUAACAUGUUUCAUUCACUAUUCCAGUAU